GACGAACGCUGGCGGCGUGCCUAAUACAUGCAAGUUGAGCGCUGAAGGUUGGUACUUGUACCAACUGGAUGAGCAGCGAACGGGUGAGUAACGCGUGGGGAAUCUGCCUUUGAGCGGGGGACAACAUUUGGAAACGAAUGCUAAUACCGCAUAAAAACUUUAAACACAAGUUUUAAGUUUGAAAGAUGCAACUGCAUCACUCAAGGAUGAUCCCGCGUUGUAUUAGCUAGUUGGUGAGGUAAAGGCUCACCAAGGCGUUGAUACAUAGCCGACCUGAGAGGGUGUUCGCCCACAUGGGGACUGGAACACGCCCAAAACUCCUACGGGGGGCGCCAGUAGGGAAUCUCCGCAAUUGGACAAAGUUCGACCGAGCAACGCCGCGUGAGUGAAGAAGGUUUUCGGAUCGUAAAACUCUGUUGGUAGAGAAGAACGUUGGUGAGAGUGGAAAGCUCAUCAAGUGACGGUAACUACCCAGAAAGGGACGGCUAACUACGUG
RNAcentral lists this ribosomal RNA (496 nucleotides) under uncultured bacterium. RNAcentral describes it as "partial 16S ribosomal RNA". It matches the Rfam family "Bacterial small subunit ribosomal RNA", at positions 28 to 507 of the family's 1533-position model. The record is from RNAcentral.